UCUAAUAUGGCAGAAUAUAUGCAAUGGAUUUAAACCCCAUAGAUAAAGAAAUCAAUCUUUUAUUAGAA
This 68-nucleotide transfer RNA is filed under the name Phaenacantha marcida. Its description in RNAcentral is "tRNA-Leu". Lineage: Eukaryota; Metazoa; Arthropoda; Insecta; Hemiptera; Colobathristidae. The record is from RNAcentral.